Molecule: long non-coding RNA, 350 nt
Organism: Pantherophis guttatus
Lineage: Eukaryota; Metazoa; Chordata; Lepidosauria; Squamata; Colubridae
Source: RefSeq, a predicted model, not a curated record
AGUAGAGUAAGAGGGAGUUAGAGUAGACAGCUGAAUGAAAAUAUCCACAAAACAUGCAAAAAAUAGUAAAUACUCCACAUGAAAACAUAACCACAAUGUAAGUACUGCCCAAAACAAGAAUAAUUGGAGAAGAUCUUGAUGUUUAGAAAAAGAAAAGAGAAUUGAAAAAGAGGCUAUAUGCUCAGAUGAACAAACACAGACUUAUGAGAACUCAAUGCAGUUACUGAAAUGCAAGCCUAGCAAAAUGAUGUCCAUCAGGUCAGGAAGAAUUGGAAGUGAGUAAGCAAUGACAAUAAAUAUGGAGUAUCAGAAGGUGAUUGGAUUUAAUAAACCUGGACAUCUCAACACUA